GUGCCAGCCGCCGCGGUAAUACCGGCAGCUCAAGUGAUGUCCCAUAUUAUUGGGCCUAAAGCGUCCGUAGCUGGCCGCACAAGUCCGUCGGGAAAUCCGCCCGCUCAACGGGCGGCCGUCCGGCGGAACCUGUGUGGCUUGGGACCGGGAGGCCUGAGGGGUACGUCCGGGGUAGGAGUGAAAUCCCGUAAUCCUGGACGGACCGCCGAUGGCGAAAGCACGUCGCGAGGACGGAUCCGACAGUGAGGGACGAAAGCCAGGGUCUCGAACCGGAUUAGAAACCCUGGUAGUCC
Molecule: ribosomal RNA, 293 nt
Filed under: uncultured bacterium
Lineage: Bacteria
Description: partial 16S ribosomal RNA
Rfam family: Archaeal small subunit ribosomal RNA
Source: RNAcentral